UACGUAGGGGGCAAGCGUUGUCCGGAUUUAUUGGGCGUAAAGAGCGUGUAGGCGGCCAUACAGGUCAGCUGUGAAAACUCGAGGCUCAACCUCGAGACGUCGGUUGAAACCGUAUGGCUAGAGUCCGGAAGAGGAGAGUGGAAUUCCCGGUGUAGCGGUGGAAAUGACGCAGAUAUCGGGAAGAACACCCGUGGCGAAGGCGGCUCUCUGGGACGGUACUGACGCUGAGACGCGAAAAGCG
This 241-nucleotide ribosomal RNA is filed under the name uncultured bacterium. RNAcentral's name for it is "partial 16S ribosomal RNA". It matches the Rfam family "Bacterial small subunit ribosomal RNA", at positions 524 to 762 of the family's 1533-position model. The record is from RNAcentral.